RNAcentral lists this ribosomal RNA (301 nucleotides) under uncultured bacterium. RNAcentral's name for it is "partial 16S ribosomal RNA". It matches the Rfam family "Bacterial small subunit ribosomal RNA", at positions 509 to 809 of the family's 1533-position model. The record is from RNAcentral.
CAGCAGCCGCGGUAAUGCGGAGGGUGCAAGCGUUAAUCGGAAUUACUGGGCGUAAAGCGCACGCAGGCGGUCUGUCAAGUCAGAUGUGAAAUCCCCGGGCUUAACCUGGGAACUGCAUUUGAAACUGGCAGGCUAGAGUCUUGUAGAGGGGGGUAGAAUUCCAGGUGUAGCGGUGAAAUGCGUAGAGAUCUGGAGGAAUACCGGUGGCGAAGGCGACUAUCUGGGCCAACACUGACACUGAGGCACGAAAGCGUGGGGAGCAAACAGGAUUAGAUACCCGGGUAGUCCCUGUCUCUUAUAA